RNAcentral lists this transfer RNA (62 nucleotides) under Tropilaelaps mercedesae. RNAcentral describes it as "tRNA-Thr". The record is from RNAcentral. Lineage: Eukaryota; Metazoa; Arthropoda; Arachnida; Mesostigmata; Laelapidae.
ACUGUUUUAAUUUAAAUAAAAUACUGAUUUUGUAAUUCAGAAAUAGAACACUCUAAACAGUU